AGCAGCCGCGGUAAUUCCAGCUCCAAUAGCGUAUAUUAAAGUUGUUGCAGUUAAAAAGCUCGUAGUUGAAUUUCGGAGUUUGUCGGUUGGUCGGGCUUCACUGUCCGCACUGGCCUGAUGGAUUCCUACCUUCUGAAUAACCAGCAUGCUAUUAAUUUAGUGCGUUGGGGAAGCAGAGCUAUUACCUUGAAAAAUUAGAGUGCUUAAAGCAGGCUUACGCUUGAAUAGAUUAGCAUGGAAUAAUAAAAUAGGACGGCUUGGUUCUAUUUUGUUGGUUUCUAGGAUCACCGUAAUGAUUAAUAGGGAUAGUUGGGGGCAUUAGUAUUCAAUUGUCAGAGGUGAAAUUCUUGGAUUUAUUGAAGACUAACUUCUGCGAAAGCAUUUGCCAGGAUGUUUUCAUUAAUCAAGAACGAAAGUUAGGGGAUCGAAGACGAUCAGAUACCGUCGUAGUCUUAACCAUAAACUAUGCCGACUAGGGAUCGGACGAUGUAAUUUUUUAAUGACUCGUUCGGCGCCUUAC
This 520-nucleotide ribosomal RNA is filed under the name uncultured Glomeromycotina. Its description in RNAcentral is "SSU rRNA". It matches the Rfam family "Eukaryotic small subunit ribosomal RNA", at positions 569 to 1091 of the family's 1831-position model. The record is from RNAcentral. Lineage: Eukaryota; Fungi; Glomeromycota.